Non-coding RNA from Pelobates cultripes (western spadefoot toad), 209 nucleotides. The record is from the annotation of a GenBank genome assembly. NCBI's taxonomy places the organism in Eukaryota, Metazoa, Chordata, Amphibia, Anura, Pelobatidae.
CUUCAUUUACCUUGCGUUACCUUCAAAGUACUUCCUGAGGUUUUGAUGUUAGUCCCUACUUCUAACAAGGUGAGGCUAUUUAUGUAAAAGUAAAAAUGAGAUUUCAGCAUUUGCAGAGGAGGUCUUUUUUUUUUUAUCUUCCCUUAAAUAUGAAUGUUUUAUUAUUAGGGUUUUAGAGUUGUAGGUUCAGUUGGGGAAAAAAACUGAAA